AAGAAGAAGAAGAAGGAAGAAAAAAAUAGAAGAAUCGUGAAAAAAUCGUUCCAACGAAUGAUGUACCAGUACGUUCCGAUAUCUCGUUUGCGGAAUAAUAUCCGUUUUGUUGCGAGAACCUACGUGUGCUUGGUUUAGCUAGUUCUAGCUAGGUAGCUAGGUAGCUAGCUAGCUUGCGCUUGGUUGGUUAGUUGGUUGGUUGGUUGGUUGGUUGGUUGGUGCUCGAGAACGAAGUAGACGUUCCUAUGCAACGUGUACUGUAGAUUAUAAUGGAGGUAUAAUGAGUUUUCUUCUCGAGCAUUGUUUUGCCCGGAGUAAUUUCGUCCCCGGUAUCUCGCACGGUAACCUCCGUCUGUACGUACGUCCGUCUAUCUGCACGUACGUACGUACGUACGUACGUAGAUACGUAACGUACAUACGUCCCUUUUGCUUUUCGCACAAAUAGACGAGCCGCGACGCGAGACGACGCAACGCGAAGCAAAGAAGAAAGCAAGUCGUGGUAUGCGUGAGUAUUAGAUGUGCGCGUAGCUCGUGUGCGCGUGCUCGUACGUGGGCGUGUGCUCUAGCGCACGUUUGUGAUCUCGUACGUUCUACGUUCGUACGUUUCGUUACGUACGUAGAAACGUAGAUCGUACGUACGUUCUAACUAACACAUAGCAAACCAGGAACACAGCCGUGUGCCGUUGGAAUUAAAGCCACCACCGCGGAUAUACCUAAUGAGUAAUGCAGGUAAGAUUUUGAACUAGGGAUUUACGGAGCUAAGGAAAUGAGAGGAAAGAAAGGGGAGGAAAAAAUGAAAAGAUUGUGGAUUAUAAGAAAGAAAGAGAUAUAUACGAUCGUAAAUACCAAAGUGAUCAUCAAUCAAAGAAGAAGAAGAAGAAGAAGAAGAA
Long non-coding RNA from Vespula pensylvanica (western yellowjacket), 890 nucleotides. RefSeq lists it as uncharacterized. Lineage: Eukaryota; Metazoa; Arthropoda; Insecta; Hymenoptera; Vespidae. The record is from RefSeq and is a predicted model, not a curated record. The transcript is spliced from 3 exons.